Long non-coding RNA from Gallus gallus (chicken), 1479 nucleotides. NCBI's taxonomy places the organism in Eukaryota, Metazoa, Chordata, Aves, Galliformes, Phasianidae. The record is from Ensembl.
GUUCACUGAAACCAUUUCAUGCUGACUGAUAACCCUUCUCUUUCUUCAGUAUCUAAUAUAUCAGGAUGGUUGUGUUCUGGACACAGAAAUAACUGGUAUAACUACUGAAAACCAGACUCCUUUAUGCCUACCUUUGUGCUUCCAUCCCAGUAGCCUUGGUCCACAAGAAAAAGAACUGCAUGAAUGGUGGUGAAAUCUUUGCUCCUUGUGUGGGAUAAUAAGAAUGUAAUGCUAAGAAGUGAUAAAUAUUUCAUCUCGCAGUGAACAAACAAAAACUCCAGGAAGGUCUCACAGUCAGCCUAGAUGUGUUUUCCAAUUCUGUAUUGAGACUGCCACUUCAGUCUUUGAAGAAGCUGACCUAUUCAACCUAGUUAGUGUAAUACUCUGAUUCAUUCGACUUACAGUAUUACAGGUCUGCUAUUACAGUGGAGGGAUUUUGUUUCCCUGACCCCUGCCUAGAAGUUCAGGAACAUGAGAGAUGUGUGAAGCCUGACUGCCAGCAAAGGCUAAGAACUGCGUCCAGUUCUGGAGCACCCAAUACAAGAAGGACAUGGAGUUGUUGGAGCAGGUCCAGAGAAGGACCAUGAAGAUAACCAGAGGGCUGGAGCACCUCCCUGUGAGGACAGGCUGACAGAGUUGGAGUUGUUCAUCCUGGAGAAGACCACUUGAAAUGGCCUUCCCGUACCUGAAGGGGAGCUGCAGGAAAGCUGGGAAGGGACUUUUUUAAGGGCAUGUAGUGUCAGGACAAGAAGAAAUGGUUUUAAACUGGAAGAGAGUAGAUUUAGACUAGAUAUUAGGAAGAAAUUCUUUACUUUGAGGGUGAUGAGACACUGGAACAGGUUGUCCAGUGAGGCUAUGGAUGCUUUGUCCCUGGAAGCAUUCAAGGCCAGGCUGGACUUGUCUUAGAGCAACCUGGUCUAAAGGGAGCUGUCCUUUCAACACAAACCAUUUUAUGAUUCUAUUAUGCUAUGAUUCUAUGAACUGAAAACAACUUUGAAACAUUUUAAGCAUUGUUAAUGCCUGUGGUUACGGCAGUUUCAGUAGUUUUUACUACCAAAAAUUUAUCCCUAAAUGGGCUGGAAGUAGCUGGUGCCCCAGAAAAGAUAAGUCGGAAGAAGAAGAAGAAAGUAUAUUUUAAUUUUAUGCUGGUCGUAGGUAGAGGGAUAGUUAAGAAUAAAUUGUAAAUAGUGUAAUAGUACCCUGUGAAUGCUGUAACCUAACCAAUAGAUAAGAUUUGCAGAAGCUCAUAGCCUUUCAAAUUAAAGACUUCAGCACUGCAUAAAACUGGAGCCUUAACCUCCAGUUUUUGUGACAUUUUUACAACUGUUUUGUUUGCAUGUCCUUAUUCCUUUAAUCUCCCAUUAUCUUCCUCCUACCCAAAGCAAACUUGUAGAAGACCAUCCUCCAUGUUUACAUACCAGUAGUAUCUGAUGCCCUGGAAGUUCUUGCUCCCCAGGAUUUGAAAAUAUAUAAUUUGAG